Molecule: ribosomal RNA, 518 nt
Filed under: uncultured bacterium
Lineage: Bacteria
Description: bacterial SSU rRNA
Rfam family: Bacterial small subunit ribosomal RNA
Source: RNAcentral
AGAACUUAGCAGAGAUGCUUUGGUGCCUUCGGGAACUCUGAGACAGGUGCUGCAUGGCUGUCGUCAGCUCGUGUUGUGAAAUGUUGGGUUAAGUCCCGCAACGAGCGCAACCCUUUAUCCUUUGUUGCCAGCGAUUCGGUCGGGAACUCAAAGGAGACUGCCAGUGAUAAACUGGAGGAAGGUGGGGAUGACGUCAAGUCAUCAUGGCCCUUACGAGUAGGGCUACACACGUGCUACAAUGGCGCAUACAAAGAGAAGCGACCUCGCGAGAGCAAGCGGACCUCAUAAAGUGCGUCGUAGUCCGGAUUGGAGUCUGCAACUCGACUCCAUGAAGUCGGAAUCGCUAGUAAUCGUAGAUCAGAAUGCUACGGUGAAUACGUUCCCGGGCCUUGUACACACCGCCCGUCACACCAUGGGAGUGGGUUGCAAAAGAAGUAGGUAGCUUAACUUUCGGGAGGGCGCUUACCACUUUGUGAUUCAUGACUGGGGUGAAGUCGUAACAAGGUAAGCGUAGUGCU